RNAcentral lists this ribosomal RNA (773 nucleotides) under uncultured bacterium. Its description in RNAcentral is "bacterial SSU rRNA". It matches the Rfam family "Bacterial small subunit ribosomal RNA", at positions 8 to 798 of the family's 1533-position model. The record is from RNAcentral.
AGAGUUUGAUCAUGGCUCAGGACGAACGCUGGCGGCGUGCUUAACACAUGCAAGUCGAACGGAAAGGCCCUUCGGGGUACUCGAGUGGCGAACGGGUGAGUAACACGUGGGUGAUCUGCCCUGCACUUUGGGAUAAGCCUGGGAAACUGGGUCUAAUACCGAAUAGGACCACGCGCUUCAUGGUGUGUGGUGGAAAGCUUUUGCGGUGUGGGAUGGGCCCGCGGCCUAUCAGCUUGUUGGUGGGGUAAUGGCCUACCAAGGCGACGACGGGUAGCCGGCCUGAGAGGGUGACCGGCCACACUGGGACUGAGAUACGGCCCAGACUCCUACGGGAGGCAGCAGUGGGGAAUAUUGCACAAUGGGCGCAAGCCUGAUGCAGCGACGCCGCGUGAGGGAUGACGGCCUUCGGGUUGUAAACCUCUUUCAAUAGGGACGAAGCGCAAGUGACGGUACCUAUAGAAGAAGCACCGGCCAACUACGUGCCAGCAGCCGCGGUAAUACGUAGGGUGCGAGCGUUGUCCGGAAUUACUGGGCGUAAAGAGCUCGUAGGUGGUUUGUCGCGUUGUUCGUGAAAACUCACAGCUUAACUGUGGGCGUGCGGGCGAUACGGGCAGACUAGAGUACUGCAGGGGAGACUGGAAUUCCUGGUGUAGCGGUGGAAUGCGCAGAUAUCAGGAGGAACACCGGUGGCGAAGGCGGGUCUCUGGGCAGUAACUGACGCUGAGGAGCGAAAGCGUGGGGAGCGAGCAGGAUUAGAUACCCUGGUAGUCCAA